RNAcentral lists this ribosomal RNA (254 nucleotides) under uncultured bacterium. Its description in RNAcentral is "partial 16S ribosomal RNA". It matches the Rfam family "Bacterial small subunit ribosomal RNA", at positions 524 to 776 of the family's 1533-position model. The record is from RNAcentral.
GACGUAGGGCGCGAGCGUUGUCCGGAUUUAUUGGGCGUAAAGAGCUCGUAGGCGGUUCGAUAAGUCGGACGUGAAAUCUCCACGCUCAACGUGGAGGGGCCGUUCGAUACUGUCGUGACUCGAGUCCGGUAGGGGAGUGUGGAAUUCCCGGUGUAGCGGUGAAAUGCGCAGAGAUCGGGAGGAACACCCGUAGCGAAGGCGGCACUCUGGGCCGGUACUGACGCUGAGGAGCGAAAGCGUGGGGAGCAAACAGG